This is a long non-coding RNA of Canis lupus familiaris (dog), 1817 nucleotides long. RefSeq lists it as uncharacterized. The record is from RefSeq and is a predicted model, not a curated record. Lineage: Eukaryota; Metazoa; Chordata; Mammalia; Carnivora; Canidae. The transcript has 4 exons.
CAACCAUAAGCUUAUUCCCAAAACUCUCUGACCCGCUGAGCCUUCCGCUAUUAAUGAUUUCCUAACUGGGGACCUCACAACGGCAUUCUUCGCCACGGGAUUUCUCACUCGGCCUGCACUGCCAAGGGGCUGCUCUUCACGGGUCAUGCCAAUUUCGGUUACGCCGGAGGUUGUGUGCCUGUGAACACGCAUCCUGCGUGGAAGCUGCAAGGUUCCAGCCCUCGGGAGGGGAGAAGCUACCGAACACACUCUCCAUCCCCAAUUAAGGCUUUGAUUACCUGAAGCGGAAAGCAUGAAGGCAUUCCUGUUCAUGAGACCUUGGCCAUCUUUCGCUCGCACCCUGCACCCUGCACCCCGGGGCGCUGGGGGCGGGGCGGGGCGGGGCGGGGGUGCAGGGGCGAGGGGGUGCGGCCGGGACACUCACUCACCGAAGGUCGUGCCGGCCUCGGGCCUGCUCACCGAGGACACGAUGACGAAGCCGAAGCCCUCGUUCUCGCCGCGCCGGAUCUCCACGUCGUAGGGCUGCACAGGCCGCGCUCACCACGCCGCUGCCGCCGCCGCCGCCGCUGCCGAUGCCGCUGGUGCUGCCGCUGCCAGAGCUCACCGUGUUCAGCGAGUUCUGGCUGCCCUGCGGGGUGCGCUUCUCCUCCGUCAGCGACGCCGGCUGGUUGCUGCUGUGAUGGGAGGAGGCCGGCGACGGCACCUCGUUCUCCGCUUUGGGGGCUGCGUGCCCCCCAGUGUGCAGGGGGACAGCGACGAGGAGGGAGCCCCAGCUCCUUCUCCCGGGCAGCAGCUGGGGACAGGAGCCCGGGUGCAAACCCCGCAAGAGCACAGCAGCAGCCUGACUGUCAGCACCGGCUCUCGGGCUCAUCGUGGCUGCCAGAGGCGCCCACUCGGAACUAGAUCCCGGGGCAUGGCCCACAGGACCGCGAGGAGCAGGGCAGGUGUGGCUGCACGUUUGUUUUUUUUUAGUAAUCUUUACACCCAAUGUAGGGCUCUAACUCAAUACCCCAAGAUCAACAGUUGCAUGCUCUUUGGACUGACCCAGUGAGGCGUCCCAAAAGUAACCACCUCUUGUUUGGUUCCUUCGGCUUCAUCUGGAGUCUGAAUCCUAAAUCCAAAUCCAGUCUCUUUUCUCCAGAGGAAGAUGUCCUGUUCUUGGCAGUCUGGAACUGCAGAGAAACAAAGAAGGAAGAGUAAGGUGAUUUCUCUCAGAAAAGGAAUUAAGGUGAACACAUAGGAACAAUCCUGAUGGUGCCUGAGCAGAUGACAGCUUUCCACCAUGGAAAGAAGCAGAAUUAUCUGGAUGGAUGACAAAACAGAGGACGCAAGGUGGAAACAAACAGUGGGACCGGUCAUUGAGCCCUAGGUUUCUUCAAAGAACUAAUCACUGUUUGAUAACUCCUAAUCAGGCCCAAGCCAUUAUCCUGGACUAAACCAGAAGUCAGUGUUGACCACUGUCCUUGGUAAUGUUGCCAGAGAAAUUAAGGAAAUUAAAACCAUUGUGUGUCAGACUAUAAAGUGGGUGCCCACCUCUGAGGAAAGAGCUGAUGCUGAGUCACAGUGACCGUGGAAACAGAAGCUCACUCUGAGAAAUUAGAAGCCCUGAUCCCUGGUCAGUCAUCUGAUGUUAUACCAAGUAGAGUAUGAAAGAAAAUAGCUUGACUUACAAGAGUUUUCAGUUUUUUAAAAAACGGCACUUUGUUCUCCCUUAAUCAAGAUCAGCAACCUAAUAAUUUGAUUUUGUUAGAUCAUUUUUUGCCAAAAGUUACUCUUGAUCAUCCCAAUAUUUCCUAAUAUUAAAAACUUUUACAAAG